AUCAUUGAGCUUGAAUCGCCAGCAACUGGUCUCUUUGAUGAGGGUAGAGAUGGGAGAAGUGGGCUGAUUCGCGAUAGUUCAGUCUGAGCAUUUGCUACUUACCCAUUGUCUCCAUUAUCUAACAUUCAACUGUGAGCUAGCUGGGCAAAAUCAUCUUCAGAUUCACCAUCCUCAUGAUUCACACUCGCUGGUGCCAAAUCUGGGGGUUUCUGUCACUUCUGCUUUGGUCAGUGGACUACCUUUGCAAAAGGUUGGAUGAUUAAUUUUUUUUAUUGAAGUUCUUACGCUGUGUAAUUCAGAAGAAGCACGACACGCUCUCGAUAAGAACGACACUGAUCGACAAGGUCAACAAUUACUUAUUGCUUCACAGCCCGCCACCAUGUCCACAAUCAUAGAUUAAGAUUCUAAACGUAAUGUCAAAAUCCAACUCAAUCUGCACUGAAGAUUGCAAAAGUUUACUAAAUAAGCUACAUACUACUACAUAACCGAAGAGGCAUCUUCCCAAGUGCAAAAAUCAAGUCUGCAAGCGAAAGGAGAAACGGGACACAUGCAUGGACAGCAUAGCCCACCUUAUGAGCUUAUUCGUGGGGCACAGAGUGCAGGAGGUAAUUGUCUCAUUUUGCUAAUUCGUAAUAUGGGAAAGCCUUCGCACCCAAAAGAGGUGCAAAAGUGGCAAAGCCAUUUUCGGCAAAAGCAAGAUAAAACUCAGUAUCUAAGAGGGGACAAGACUCGACGUGCGUAAAUACCAAGUGCAAAUAUCUCUCGCAGCUCUUGGACAGUAGUAACUCGAUACUCCAAAUCUCUAGCAAUAACAAUUUUUUGUCGUUCAGGCAGUAAGAAUUGGUGAUCACCCAAGAUGGUGCAUACUGGAAUUCUGCAGCUUCUUCCAAUUAGAACAGCAACGGAUUACGGAACGGUCGAAUCUUACGACCAGAUCCUAAAAGAAAAGCAAUGAAAUAAAGCUAGGGCAAUUUUCGGACUUGGGUUGUGUCGUUCAGCCAAAGGUUUUAGAGCUAGGAAGACAAAUUGAUAUUAGUAGACCUGAUAGGACUGUCAGAUAAAAAACACGAAAUAGCAGAAUAUAAGCAGCCUCCGUCCCGGUAGUUUUCAUCUCAGCCCUCUGAAUCAUAAUUUCCCAUUACUGAAUGGAUCAGGCCACUGCUGGCGAGUACUGCCCAGCCUCUUCUACCACCGGAGGAAGGAUCACCGUACGC
Molecule: long non-coding RNA, 1214 nt
Organism: Syzygium oleosum
Lineage: Eukaryota; Viridiplantae; Streptophyta; Magnoliopsida; Myrtales; Myrtaceae
Exons: 2
Source: RefSeq, a predicted model, not a curated record